CUUUCCCAGCAUAGGUUGGAUUUUUUUGUUCCUUUGAUGCUUGAUGAGUCAGAUUUGAUGGUUUGGGUUUGGGGAUGGUCUUAGCGUAUUCCAAAGCCUAAACGCAUAAAGAUGAAAUUUUAUUUGAAAUGGGAAGUGAGCCUGGAUUCCUUAAAUUAAAUCUAGGAAAUGUUUAUUUAUAAUAUAAAUGGAGACUAUCACUAUAACUUACUAAGACAUUGGUGGAAAUGGAGAUCAAACAAUGCAAUAUAACACACAGUUUAAACAAAAUACAUUAGCCACAAAACAAUAUAUUGUGGAAAAAAAGGAGUUGAAGAAUAAUACAUACGGUUGUGUCCUUUGGAUGCUUUUGUCAUAAAACUGAGUUUCCUUCAAGUGUUCCUUCUUAUGUGUUUGGUCUACUUAGUUUCCGGAAGUCUUAGUAAAACCAAACUUCUAUUAAGGAGAUAUUAAUAGACCUUUCUAUCCAAAGAAGACUUGUUACAGCUUGAGACCAAAGACAUCACUGUAGUUUACAUACACUUGAGCUCCCAUCAUUAUACCAGCUAUUCUUGUUCCUAGGAUCUAGAAAGUAUUUGAGGUUGAAAUUUUUUUCUUUCUAUAGCAAUCUAGACGCUGAAAAAGGCAGUCUUUUUCUCAGUGAUGUCAGUUCUGAAAGGCAUUACAAUAAAAAUGAGAUCACUAAAUAUGAUUCCUAAACCUGCCUUUAUAACAGUUUUGCAUUUUAGUAAGAUGUUGUUGAUAGCUGAAAUACAAAUGGAUUGUAUGCUUUCAGUCCUGCAAGGGGAAAAAAAAACCCUCUAAAAUGUAGAAAAGAAAAGUCUAGACUUCUCAGUGCAUGUAGGUGAAUGCUACAGAUAUUUCUAAUUAUAGGUUUGUUGCCUUGAAACUCUUCAUGAAAAAAAAAUGGAUUGGAGAAAAAAGAAAAAGUAGCACCAUAGAAACUCAAUCAAGUGGAUUGAGGUCUUCAAGGUCUGAGGAAGAAAGGCAAUAAAUAGAAAAUAUGAUGGUCUGUGAAAGAGAACAUGAAGUACAAAUUCCUGCAGGCACCAAAGGAUCUCUUGUUCCUCAUGCAAAGGGUCCCGUGUCCUUACAGGGACUGGAUAGAUCAAUUGAGGCAGAGACUUGUACUGCAAAGCUCUGUGUACAUAUUUCAUUCACAUCACAACUGAUGGUUGAUGCCAUCUGAGAGGGAGAACAUUCUGUAUUCCAUGAAAUCAUUUUUCUUCAAUAGAGGAACCUAUAUAUUACAAUCCCUAUGGAGAGUGUAGGGGAAUGAAGUUGAGAGAAACAGUGUUUAUAUGUCUUUUCUUUGACAUAUAAGCAGCAAGAAGACAACAACUGCCUUAAAGCUUAUUUAAUGAUACAAAAUAAAAUUGAUGAUGAAGCUUGCUCAUUUAAGAAAUCACAUUAUUAUUUAAUUUUUAUGUGUGACACAUUUAAAAUACUAUUCCUGGAAGAAAAGACAUGGAGACAAUAACUUCAGGAAAAACAAAGGUUAACUUUACAAAAGUGUGUGUGUGUGUGUGUGUGACUGUGUGUGUGUCACUAUUGCAUUGCUAUCUGUGAAUGAUGGGUAGCUACAGGAAUGGAAGUAGCUAAAACAUCUCCUGCGUUCCAAAAAAAUGGGAAGGUUUUUUUUUUAAGUUACAAGAAAACGGGCUGGGUGUGGUGCCUCUCCCAACACUUGGGGAGGCUUAGUUUGGAGGAUAGCUUGAGCCCAGGAGUUUAUGACCAUCCUGGGCAAGACGGCAAGACUCUGUGGCUAAUUAAAAAAAAAAAAAAAAAGCGAUAAUAAAAGUUUCCUUUUAAUUCUGCUUGAAAAAAUAAAUGCCUUGUUGAGAAUUUCUUACCUUCUGCCGAGGGAUAGCAGAUUUCUUUUGAGUUUUUUCUGUUUGUGGUUUUGAUAGAAUGGAUAGUGUCUUCAUGUUGUACUCCUUGACUUGUUUUGCAUAUUCCUUUUGCUGUAUUAAUUUUUGCGUCUGUUCAGAGAAACAAAGUUAUGAUGAAUCCAGGUGCUGCUAGUUCUCUCUGCUCUCUAUUUAAAGCGAUGCCCUGGUUUCAGUAUACUGGGCGUAUCUUAUCAGCUGUACAGGAGCAAUGGGAUCACCUUGAGUAAGGUGGCAGCAGUGAAAUGGUUAAGUUAAUUGUUUCUCCUUGAAAUAGUCUCUCUGUGAGGAGGCACAUCACUGCAAUAUCACGCCCGGUAUUCCCUUAACAGGGGCUAAAUCACAUUCAGAACCUUCUUUGUUGCAUUUACCCAAUUUAUUUUCAUUUUUGCUUCCAACUUUGAACUAUACUCUCUUUUUAUGCCUUGAGUGCAACUGCAGUUAAAACACAUUAAAUGAAGAUCUCCUUUCACUAGAGGAAAGAGAAUAAAGUGGAUGCACUUUUCAGGGGUUGGGAAACUCUUCCCGUAAGUGUCUUCUCUGUGGCCACUCUUCACAAUUAUCAAGAUAACUCUAGUAGGAAAGACCAACAACCACAUAACAUACACAUUUCUUUUCAGGUGCACAGGCCCCACUUUUCCGUGCGGGCCUUCAAAACUAACUGAAAGACAGAUACAUAAAACAACACGGGCUAAAUAUUUUUAUUUUAAGGCAAAAGGCACGUGUCUGGGUCUCUAUACCAAGAUUAUUUCAGAAGGUCUCUAUUCAGAGUGAGACAUUUGAAUUAGGGUUUAAUUCUGGGGGGCGUCUUCAUAAAGUUUCCUAACAGACAGAUGGGCUGAGUCAGGUCUGGAAACACUGUAUGUGCAUCUCACUCACUUUGUCUCUGAUGGACUCAAAGUCAGGUCCGAGGCCUCCAAGCUUCACGUCUCUUUUCUGAUAACCUUUCAGCUUGGUGUUCUAAAAAUACAACCACAGAAACAGUUUCUUUUAAGGACUUGUGUGUCCCCCGACUCCUAACACCCUGUAAGGUGUCAUAGCCACAUAAAGUAAGAAAGAAAAUAAUGAAAGCCUGUGUGCACUGUCAGAGAAUGGCCGCAUUUCCUGACAAUGCUUCCAUUUUCAUGGUAGUUAUUGGUAAUAGUCUCUUUGGUAAUUCGUAGCUGGUUAGCUAACAUGUUUUCACUUUUCCACUUCUGCAAUAAAGAAACUUAAAAUUCUGAAAUUACAAAUAAAAGUUUUCAAGCUAGUGAUGUCCUGUUUUCUUACGAAUGUUUUUUAUUUUAUUUUUUUUUUUUUGGAGAUACCUGGUUUUGCUGUGUUGUCCAGGCUAGACUUGAACUCCUGGGCUUGAACUCCUGAGCUUAAGUGAUCCUCCCACCUCAGCCUCUUGAGUCGCUGGGAUUACAGAUGUUAGCCACUUCACCUGGCC
This 3321-nucleotide long non-coding RNA is filed under the name Homo sapiens (human). RNAcentral's name for it is "HSALNT0182567". The record is from RNAcentral. Lineage: Eukaryota; Metazoa; Chordata; Mammalia; Primates; Hominidae.